RNAcentral lists this ribosomal RNA (750 nucleotides) under uncultured bacterium. Its description in RNAcentral is "bacterial SSU rRNA". It matches the Rfam family "Bacterial small subunit ribosomal RNA", at positions 71 to 766 of the family's 1533-position model. The record is from RNAcentral.
UUUUUCCCCCCCCGAGGUUCCCCUUCNCGAGAUACUGCCUCGAGGGGGACGGGAGGGAGCUUGCUUUCCUUGCCGGCGACCGGCGCACGGGUGACCAUCUUGUAUGCAACCUGCCCUCUUCAGGGGGACAACCUUCCCCAUGGGAGGCUAAUCCCGCGUAUAUCGGUUCUGGGCAUCCGAGAUCGAGGAAAGAUUCAUCGGAAGAGGAUGGGCAUGCGGCGCAUUAGCUUGACGGCGGGGUAACGGCCCACCGUGGCGACGAUGCGUAGGGGUUCUGAGAGGAAGGUCCCCCACACUGGUACUGAGACACGGACCAGACUCCUACGGGAGGCAGCAGUGAGGAAUAUUGGUCAAUGGGAGAGAUCCUGAACCAGCCAAGCCGCGUGAGGGAAGACGGCCCUAUGGGUUGUAAACCUCUUUUGUCGGAGAACAAAACCCGGGACGUGUCCCGGACUGCGUGUAUCCGAAGAAAAAGCAUCGGCUAACUCCGUGCCAGCAGCCGCGGUAAUACGGAGGAUGCGAGCGUUAUCCGGAUUUAUUGGGUUUAAAGGGUGCGUAGGCGGUCCGUUAAGUCAGCGGUAAAAUUGCGGGGCUCAACCCCGUCGAGCCGUUGAAACUGGCAUACUUGAGUUGGCGAGAACUACGCGGAAUGCGCGGUGUACCGGUGAAAUGCAUACAUAUCGUGCACAACUCCGAUUGCGAAGGCUUCGCAUCGGCGCCAGACUGACGCUGAGGCACGAAUGCGUGUGG